Molecule: long non-coding RNA, 316 nt
Organism: Ixodes scapularis (black-legged tick)
Lineage: Eukaryota; Metazoa; Arthropoda; Arachnida; Ixodida; Ixodidae
Exons: 3
Source: RefSeq, a predicted model, not a curated record
GUGUAAGGACCGAACAGAGGAGUUGCUUAUAUGCGGCGACUUCAACGCACAUAAUGUGGCUUGGGGAAGUGCUCGAACAGACAAGAGGGGGGAGGCCCUUAUGACAGUAAUAGAGCAGAUGGGACUUGCGGUGGCGAAUGAUGGACGGCCGACGUUCUUCAGGCUUCCGAACUCGUACAGUGUUCUUGACGUGACAGCGCACUCGCCAUCCCUGUAGAUGAAGUGGGAGCUAGCCCCGGACACACGGGGAAGUGAUCACUUCCCCAUCCACAUCACCAUCAAGGGGUGUCAGGGGGCAAGGAAAGUCUUGCGUACG